CAGUAGCCGCGGGAAUACGAAGGGGGCUAGCGUUGUUCGGAUUUACUGGGCGUAAAGCGCACGUAGGCGGACUUUUAAGUCAGGGGUGAAAUCCCGGGGCUCAACCCCGGAACUGCCUUUGAAACUAGGUGACUAGAAUCUUGGAGAGGUCAGUGGAAUUCCGAGUGUAGAGGUGAAAUUCGUAGAUAUUCGGAAGAACACCAGUGGCGAAGGCGACUGACUGGACAAGUAUUGACGCUGAGGUGCGAAAGCGUGGGGAGCAAACAGGAUUAGAUACCCGCGUAGUCCCUGUCUCUUAUAC
RNAcentral lists this ribosomal RNA (301 nucleotides) under uncultured bacterium. RNAcentral describes it as "partial 16S ribosomal RNA". It matches the Rfam family "Bacterial small subunit ribosomal RNA", at positions 509 to 807 of the family's 1533-position model. The record is from RNAcentral.